This 494-nucleotide ribosomal RNA is filed under the name uncultured bacterium. RNAcentral describes it as "partial 16S ribosomal RNA". It matches the Rfam family "Bacterial small subunit ribosomal RNA", at positions 28 to 507 of the family's 1533-position model. The record is from RNAcentral.
GACGAACGCUGGCGGCGUGCUUAACACAUGCAAGUCGAACGGAAAGGCCUGCUUUCCCUUGUGGAUUGCGGGUACUCGAGUGGCGAACGGGUGAGUAACACGUGAGUGAUCUGCCCCCAACUUGGGUAUAAGCCUGGGAAACUGGGUCUAAUUCCCGAUAGGACUGCAGGGUGGUGCCGGUGGUGGAAAACGAUUUUCUAGUGGUUGGGGAUGAGCUCGCGGCCUAUCAGCUUGUUGGUGGGGUAAUGGCCUACCAAGGCGGCGACGGGUAGCCGGCCUGGGAGUGUGGACAGCCGCAUUGGGACUGGGAUACGGCUCCGACGCCUACCGGCGGCAGCAGUGGGGAAUAUUGGAGCAUGGGCGGAAGCCUGAUGCAGCGACGCCGCGUGGGAGAUCUCGGCCUUCGGGUUGUAAGCUCCUUUCGACCGCGAGGAAGCCACCUGGUUGGACGGGUGGUGACGGUAGUGGUAGAAGAAGCACCGGCUAACUACGUG